Molecule: transfer RNA, 75 nt
Filed under: Brucella cytisi
Lineage: Bacteria; Pseudomonadati; Pseudomonadota; Alphaproteobacteria; Hyphomicrobiales; Brucellaceae
Description: Ochrobactrum cytisi tRNA-Gln
Rfam family: tRNA
About the family: Transfer RNA (tRNA) molecules are approximately 80 nucleotides in length. Their secondary structure includes four short double-helical elements and three loops (D, anti-codon, and T loops).
Source: RNAcentral
UGGGGAAUAGUUUAAGGGUAGAACAGCGGACUCUGACUCCGCUAGUCUUGGUUCGAAUCCGUGGUUCCCCAGCCA